GACGAACGCUGGCGGCAGGCCUAACACAUGCAAGUCGAGCGGACCUUUCGGGGUCAGCGGCGGACGGGUGAGUAACGCGUGGGAAUAUGCCCUUCUCUACGGAAUAGUCCUGGGAAACUGGGGGUAAUACCGUAUACGCCCUUUGGGGGAAAGAUUUAUCGGGGAAGGAUUAGCCCGCGUUGGAUUAGGUAGUUGGUGGGGUAAUGGCCUACCAAGCCGACGAUCCAUAGCUGGUUUGAGAGGAUGAUCAGCCACACUGGGACUGAGACACGGCCCAGACUCCUACGGGAGGCAGCAGUGGGGAAUCUUAGACAAUGGGGGCAACACUGAUCUAGCCAUGCCGCGUGAGUGAUGAAGGCCUUAGGGUUGUAAAGCUCUUUCAGCUGGGAAGAUAAUGACGGUACCAGCAGAAGAAGCCCCGGCUAACUCCGUG
This 433-nucleotide ribosomal RNA is filed under the name uncultured bacterium. RNAcentral's name for it is "partial 16S ribosomal RNA". It matches the Rfam family "Bacterial small subunit ribosomal RNA", at positions 28 to 507 of the family's 1533-position model. The record is from RNAcentral.